GAUGAACGCUAGCGGCAGGCCUAAUACAUGCAAGCCGAACGGCAAGAACUUUAGCAAUAGAGUUCCUAGAGUGGCGUAAGGGUGCGUAACACGUAUGCAAUCUGCCCUCAACAGGAGGAUAGCUCCCCGAAAGGGGAAUUAAGACUCCAUAAGAUCAUUUUAUGGCAUCAUGAGAUGAUUAAACUACCAGGGGUUGAGGAUGAGCAUGCGCAUGAUUAGUUAGUUGGCGGGGUAACG
This 237-nucleotide ribosomal RNA is filed under the name uncultured bacterium. RNAcentral describes it as "partial 16S ribosomal RNA". It matches the Rfam family "Bacterial small subunit ribosomal RNA", at positions 28 to 262 of the family's 1533-position model. The record is from RNAcentral.